CAUAUUGUGAGCUCGAUGAGUAGGGCGGGACACGUGGUAUCCUGUCUGAAUAUGGGGGGACCAUCCUCCAAGGCUAAAUACUCCUGACUGACCGAUAGUGAACCAGUACCGUGAGGGAAAGGCGAAAAGAACCCCGGCGAGGGGAGUGAAAAAGAACCUGAAACCGUGUACGUACAAGCAGUGGGAGCACGCUUAGGCGUGUGACUGCGUACCUUUUGUAUAAUGGGUCAGCGACUUAUAUUCUGUAGCAAGGUUAACCGAAUAGGGGAGCCGAAGGGAAACCGAGUCUUAACUGGGCGUUAAGUUGCAGGGUAUAGACCCGAAACCCGGUGAUCUAGCCAUGGGCAGGUUGAAGGUUGGGUAACACUAACUGGAGGACCGAACCGACUAAUGUUGAAAAAUUAGCGGAUGACUUGUGGCUGGGGGUGAAAGGCCAAUCAAACCGGGAGAUAGCUGGUUCUCCCCGAAAGCUAUUUAGGUAGCGCCUCGUGAAUUCAUCUCCGGGGGUAGAGCACUGUUUCGGCAAGGGGGUCAUCCCGACUUACCAACCCGAUGCAAACUGCGAAUACCGGAGAAUGUUAUCACGGGAGACACACGGCGGGUGCUAACGUCCGUCGUGAAGAGGGAAACAACCCAGACCGCCAGCUAAGGUCCCAAAGUCAUGGUUAAGUGGGAAACGAUGUGGGAAGGCCCAGACAGCCAGGAUGUUGGCUUAGAAGCAGCCAUCAUUUAAAGAAAGCGUAAUAGCUCACUGGUCGAGUCGGCCUGCGCGGAAGAUGUAACGGGGCUAAACCAUGCACCGAAGCUGCGGCAGCGACGCUGAUGCGUUGUUGGGUAGGGGAGCGUUCUGUAAGCCUGUGAAGGUGUGCUGUGAGGUAUGCUGGAGGUAUCAGAAGUGCGAAUGCUGACAUAAGUAACGAUAAAGCGGGUGAAAAGCCCGCUCGCCGGAAGACCAAGGGUUCCUGUCCAACGUUAAUCGGGGCAGGGUGAGUCGACCCCUAAGGCGAGGCCGAAAGGCGUAGUCGAUGGGAAACAGGUUAAUAUUCCUGUACUUGGUGUUACUGCGAAGGGGGGACGGAGAAGGCUAUGUUGGCCGGGCGACGGUUGUCCCGGUUUAAGCGUGUAGGCUGGUUUUCCAGGCAAAUCCGGAAAACUAAGGCUGAGGCGUGAUGACGAGGCACUACGGUGCUGAAGCAACAAAUGCCCUGCUUCCAGGAAAAGCCUCUAAGCAUCAGGUAACAUCAAAUCGUACCCCAAACCGACACAGGUGGUCAGGUAGAGAAUACCAAGGCGCUUGAGAGAACUCGGGUGAAGGAACUAGGCAAAAUGGUGCCGUAACUUCGGGAGAAGGCACGCUGAUAUGUAGGUGAAGUCCCUCGCGGAUGGAGCUGAAAUCAGUCGAAGAUACCAGCUGGCUGCAACUGUUUAUUAAAAACACAGCACUGUGCAAACACGAAAGUGGACGUAUACGGUGUGACGCCUGCCCGGUGCCGGAAGGUUAAUUGAUGGGGUCAGCGCAAGCGAAGCUCUUGAUCGAAGCCCCGGUAAACGGCGGCCGUAACUAUAACGGUCCUAAGGUAGCGAAAUUCCUUGUCGGGUAAGUUCCGACCUGCACGAAUGGCGUAAUGAUGGCCAGGCUGUCUCCACCCGAGACUCAGUGAAAUUGAACUCGCUGUGAAGAUGCAGUGUACCCGCGGCAAGACGGAAAGACCCCGUGAACCUUUACUAUAGCUUGACACUGAACAUUGAGCCUUGAUGUGUAGGAUAGGUGGGAGGCUUUGAAGUGUGGACGCCAGUCUGCAUGGAGCCGACCUUGAAAUACCACCCUUUAAUGUUUGAUGUUCUAACGUUGACCCGUAAUCCGGGUUGCGGACAGUGUCUGGUGGGUAGUUUGACUGGGGCGGUCUCCUCCUAAAGAGUAACGGAGGAGCACGAAGGUUGGCUAAUCCUGGUCGGACAUCAGGAGGUUAGUGCAAUGGCAUAAGCCAGCUUGACUGCGAGCGUGACGGCGCGAGCAGGUGCGAAAGCAGGUCAUAGUGAUCCGGUGGUUCUGAAUGGAAGGGCCAUCGCUCAACGGAUAAAAGGUACUCCGGGGAUAACAGGCUGAUACCGCCCAAGAGUUCAUAUCGACGGCGGUGUUUGGCACCUCGAUGUCGGCUCAUCACAUCCUGGGGCUGAAGUAGGUCCCAAGGGUAUGGCUGUUCGCCAUUUAAAGUGGUACGCGAGCUGGGUUUAGAACGUCGUGAGACAGUUCGGUCCCUAUCUGCC
Molecule: ribosomal RNA, 2268 nt
Filed under: Shigella flexneri
Lineage: Bacteria; Pseudomonadati; Pseudomonadota; Gammaproteobacteria; Enterobacterales; Enterobacteriaceae
Description: partial 23S ribosomal RNA
Rfam family: Bacterial large subunit ribosomal RNA
Source: RNAcentral